GCAAGCUCGGCUGAAGGCCCGCGUCGUAAACUGGGACACCGAGGCGUGGCAGCGAGACCCCGCCUUCUCGGGUCUGCAGAGGGUCGGGGGCGUUGACGUGUCCUUCGUGAAAGGGGACAGUGUCCGCGCUUGUGCCUCCUUGGUGGUGCUCAGCUUCCCUGAGCUCGAGAGACAGGGUCUCACUAUGUUGCCCAGGGUGGUCUCCAGCUCCUGGGCUCAAGGGAUCCUCCCACGUUGGCCUCCCCAAGUGCUGAGAUUACAGGCACGAACCACCACACCCAGCCCAGAAGUCCUCUUAGAACAUUGAAGUGCCCUUCUCAUGACCUCAUGGUGAAUAAAGUUCCCUCUCGUUGGCAUGGCUUCAAGGCCUCUUAU
This 375-nucleotide small RNA is filed under the name Pongo abelii (Sumatran orangutan). Its description in RNAcentral is "processed transcript". The record is from RNAcentral. Lineage: Eukaryota; Metazoa; Chordata; Mammalia; Primates; Hominidae.